Molecule: ribosomal RNA, 496 nt
Filed under: uncultured bacterium
Lineage: Bacteria
Description: bacterial SSU rRNA
Rfam family: Bacterial small subunit ribosomal RNA
Source: RNAcentral
AAAUGAAUUGACGGGGACCCGCACAAGCAGCGGAGCAUGUGGUUUAAUUCGAUGCAACGCGAAGAACCUUACCAGGACUUGACAUCCCUCAGACCGUCUUAGAGAUAAGACUUUCUCUUCGGAGACUGAGGUGACAGGUGGUGCAUGGUUGUCGUCAGCUCGUGUCGUGAGAUGUUGGGUUAAGUCCCGCAACGAGCGCAACCCUUGUCUUUAGUUGCAAACAGUUAGGCUGUGCACUCUAGAGAGACUGCCGAUGAGAAAUCGGAGGAAGGUGGGGAUGACGUCAAAUCAUCAUGCCCUUUAUGUCCUGGGCUACACACGUGCUACAAUGGUUGGUACAAUGGGCAGCCACUUAGCGAUAAGGAGCUAAUCCCAUAAAACCAAUCUCAGUUCGGAUUGCAGGCUGCAACUCGCCUGCAUGAAGCCGGAGUUGCUAGUAAUCGUGGAUCAGAAUGCCACGGUGAAUGCGUUCCCGGGUCUUGUACACACCGCCCGU